RNAcentral lists this ribosomal RNA (253 nucleotides) under uncultured bacterium. RNAcentral describes it as "partial 16S ribosomal RNA". It matches the Rfam family "Bacterial small subunit ribosomal RNA", at positions 524 to 776 of the family's 1533-position model. The record is from RNAcentral.
UACGAAGGGGGCUAGCGUUGUUCGGAUUUACUGGGCGUAAAGCGCACGUAGGCGGUUCGUUAAGUCGGGGGUGAAAUCCUGGAGCUCAACUCCAGAACUGCCUUCGAUACUGGCGAUCUAGAGUCCGGAAGAGGUGAGUGGAACUCCUAGUGUAGAGGUGGAAUUCGUAGAUAUGAGGAAGAACACCAGUGGCGAAGGCGGCUCACUGGUCCGGUACUGACGCUGAGGUGCGAAAGCGUGGGGAGCAAACAGG